AUCUAUGGCCAUACCACCUUGAACGCACCCUGUCUCCUCUGUUCUGGGAAGCUACUCAGGGUUGGGCCUUGUUAGUACUUGGAUGGGAGACCACCUGGGAAUACUGGGUGCAGUAGGUU
Ribosomal RNA from Cercocebus atys (sooty mangabey), 119 nucleotides. The record is from Ensembl. Lineage: Eukaryota; Metazoa; Chordata; Mammalia; Primates; Cercopithecidae.